This 255-nucleotide ribosomal RNA is filed under the name uncultured bacterium. Its description in RNAcentral is "partial 16S ribosomal RNA". It matches the Rfam family "Bacterial small subunit ribosomal RNA", at positions 524 to 776 of the family's 1533-position model. The record is from RNAcentral.
UACGUAGGGUGCGAGCGUUAAUCGGAAUUACUGGGCGUAAAGCGUGCGCAGGCGGUUCGUUGUGUCGGCGGUGAAAGCCCCCGGGCUUAACCUGGGAAUGGCCGUUGAAACUGGCGAACUGGAGUGUGGCAGAGGGGGGUGGAAUUCCGCGUGUAGCAGUGAAAUGCGUAGAGAUGCGGAGGAACACCGAUGGCGAAGGCAGCCCCCUGGGCUAACACUGACGCCUCAGGCACGAAAGCGUGGGGAGCAAACAGG